This 470-nucleotide ribosomal RNA is filed under the name uncultured bacterium. RNAcentral describes it as "bacterial SSU rRNA". It matches the Rfam family "Bacterial small subunit ribosomal RNA", at positions 917 to 1382 of the family's 1533-position model. The record is from RNAcentral.
GGGCUCACACAAGCGGUGGAGCAUGUGGCUCAAUUCGAGGCAACGCGAAGAACCUUAUCCUAGGCUUGACAUGGUCGGAUUAGUUCCGUGAAAGCGGAAUGACGCCUUCGGGUGGAACGAUCACAGGUGCUGCAUGGCUGUCGUCAGCUCGUGUCGUGAGAUGUCGGGUUUAGUCCUUCAACGAGCGAAACCCCUGUCUCUAGUUGCCAGCAUUCAGUUGGGGACUCUAGAGAGACCGCCGGUGUUAAACCGGAGGAAGGCGGGGACGACGUCAAGUCAUCACGGCCUUUAUGCCUAGGGCUGCACACGUGCUACAAUGGGUCGGACAAAGGGACGCGAACGCGCGAGCGGGAGCAAAUCUCAAAAACCGCCCCCCAGUUCAGAUUGCAGGCUGCAAUUCGCCUGCAUGAAGCCGGAAUCGCUAGUAAUCGCAGAUCAGCUAUGCUGCGGUGAAUGUGUUCCUGAGCCUU